Molecule: ribosomal RNA, 712 nt
Filed under: Acanthamoeba sp. CRIB-23
Lineage: Eukaryota; Discosea; Longamoebia; Acanthamoebidae
Description: SSU rRNA
Rfam family: Eukaryotic small subunit ribosomal RNA
Source: RNAcentral
GCGCCCGUGCCAUCGGGUCAAACCGGUGGCUGCGUUGGCGUUGCGGGCUCGGUCCGUCGGUGCCCCACAAAGGGCUAUCGGCGUGUCAACCGGCCCGCCCGUCCCCUCCUUCUGGAUUCCCGUUCCUGCUAUUGAGUUAGUGGGGACGUCACAGGGGGUCCAUCGUCGUGCGGCGUCAAAACCGUGCGGCGGUGGGUCCCUGGGGCCCAGAUCGUUUACCGUGAAAAAAUUAGAGUGUUCAAAGCAGGCAGAUCCAAUUUUCUGCCACCGAAUACAUUAGCAUGGGAUAAUGGAAUAGGACCCUGUCCUCCUAUUUUCAGUUGGUUUUGGCAGCGCGAGGACUAGGGUAAUGAUUAAUAGGGAUAGUUGGGGGCAUUAAUAUUUAAUUGUCAGAGGUGAAAUUCUUGGAUUUAUGAAAGAUUAACUUCUGCGAAAGCAUCUGCCAAGGAUGUUUUCAUUAAUCAAGAACGAAAGUUAGGGGAUCGAAGACGAUCAGAUACCGUCGUAGUCUUAACCAUAAACGAUGCCGACCAGCGAUUAGGAGACGUUGAAUACAAAACACCACCAUCGGUGCGGUCGUCCUUGGCGUCUCGGUCCUUCACGGGGCCGGGGCGCGGGGGUGGCUUAGCCCGGUGGCACCGGUGAAUGACUCCCCUAGCAGCUUGUGAGAAAUCAUAAGUCUUUGGGUUCCGGGGGGAGUAGGUCGCAAGGC